GACGAACGCUGGCGGUGUGCUUAACACAUGCAAGUCGAACGGAAAGGCCCUGCUUUUGUGGGGUUCUCGAGUGGCGAACGGGUGCGUAACACGUGUGUAACCUGCUCUUGACUUUGGGAUAACUUCAGGAAACUAGGGCUAAUACCGGAUCGGAGCUCCCGCUGCAUGGUGGGGGGUGGAACGUCUCGGCGGUUGGGGAUGGACUCGCGGCUUAUCAGCUUGUUAGUGGGGUAGUGGCUUACCAAGGCAUUGACGGGUCGCCGGCCUGGGAGGGUGGCCGGCGACAUUGGGACUGAGAUACGGACCAGACUCCUACGGGAGGCAGCAGUGGGGAAUAUUGCACAAUGGGCGGAAGCCUGAUGCAGCAACGCCGCGUGUGGGAUGACGGCCUGCGGGUUGUAAACCGCUUUCGCCUGUGACGAAGCGUGAGUGACGGUAAUGGGUAAAGAAGCACCGGCUAACUACGUG
This 468-nucleotide ribosomal RNA is filed under the name uncultured bacterium. RNAcentral's name for it is "partial 16S ribosomal RNA". It matches the Rfam family "Bacterial small subunit ribosomal RNA", at positions 28 to 507 of the family's 1533-position model. The record is from RNAcentral.